GACCUAAUAGCGAAGUUGGCGUCGCGUCUGCUCUGGUGGGGGACAAUAUUUGGUAAUGGCCUUCAUGUGGAAGUCCCUCGUUCGAACCGAGGUUAGGUCC
Molecule: non-coding RNA, 100 nt
Organism: Mycena rebaudengoi
Lineage: Eukaryota; Fungi; Basidiomycota; Agaricomycetes; Agaricales; Mycenaceae
Source: the annotation of a GenBank genome assembly